UCGGCGAAAAAAAAAAAAGAACGAGAGAACGAAGAGGAGAGAGAAAAAGAAAAGAGAAAAAGGUAUAAGGGCAUUUUGGUCAGUUUGCUGAAAAAACGGACCGAAUCUGCAAAAACGAAAAAGGUGGCCCGAUUUUGCAAAAGCCUAAAAUAAGUGGAUUUUUUAUGCAAAUUGACCUAUAAUUAUUUAAUAGAUUAAAUUAAAUAAUUAUAACGCUAUUUUGAUAACUUUAUAAAUAAUAUAAAUGAUUUGGUACGUACUUUAUUUUAUAAAAAAUAAAAAGAUCUUAACCAUUGAUUAAUAAAGAUUAAAAAUAUAAUUUUAUUAUGUAACAGGUUAAAAGAUGAUUUCAUGUGACACUAUAACAAAAACGGUCUAUAGCGAUACUUUUAAAUAUAGGUACAUGUCAAAAAAGUGAUGCUAGUUAAAAUUACUGACACUUUUAAAAAGUGUUGCUAUAUGUGGGGUCGCUAAGUAUAUAGUGACAGUUAAGAGUGUCGCUAUAACCUAAAAGAGUGCUGCUAAUUUACCAACACUUAUUUAAGCAUUUAGCAACCGCCGAAACUCUAUCUCGUUAGCUGUGGUGGCGGAGGAGGACGACAGGAAAGGCUCUUCGUCUAGAAUUUCAGUGGAUUGAGUGAAGAGAGAAGAAAAGAUGGUAAUUGAUUUUUUUUUUUUUUUCUUUUCUGUUUGUAAUCGGGCCAAAUGGACUGGGUGUGGUGGGUGGAGUAGAGUAAUUUUUUAUUUUUGGUCGGAUUGGGUUUUAUAUUUAGGCAUUAGUAGAUAUUUUUUAAGUUUUAGGAUAAAUAUGACACUUACUCAAAAGUGUUCCAAAUAUGUGUUCCUAUAGCCUAAUUCUGUUGUAGUGUGAGGGUAUUUUUGUAACUAAAGUGGGCAAAAUUUUAAGAAAAUUGUGAUUAAUAUCUCAAAUUUAGUAUUAAUUUUGUACUAAUUUAAAUAUUAAUUUAAAAUUUGAUAGAUAUUUCAAAUUUAGACAUUAAUUUUGCGCUAAUUUAGGCAUUAAUUUCCGUGAAAGAACGUGAACCUUUUUAAGUAAUUAUAUAACUCUGUUUUAAUAGCUUUAUAUAAUUAUUUAAUAGAUUAAGAAAUUAUAACUCUAUUUUAAUAGCUAUAUACAAUAGAAAUGAUCUGGUACUUCAUUUUAUAAAAAAUAAGUAAAUUUUAAAUUAAAUCUAGCAAAUAUAAAAUGUCAAAUUUAAAAUUUAAAUAAUUAAAAAUAACAAUUUAAAUUUUAUAUUUUAAAUUUUAAAUCAAAUCUAAAAUUACAAAUAUAAAAUGUCAAAUUUAAAUUUAAAUAAUUAAAAAUAAUUAAAAAUUUAAAAAUAUAAAUUUUAAAAUUACAAAUUAUAAAUUUUUAAAAUUUAAAAUUUAUAUUUAUAUUUAAAAAUUAGGGAUAAUUUCAUCAAUACCCUUCUAAGAGAUAGGAAUUUCAUAAAUGCCCCUAUAAAUUACAAAAUAUCAGCAAUACCCCUCUAUAAAACAAAAAUAUUCACAAAUACCCUUAAGAUUAACAUUCCGUUAAAAAGUCAUCUAAUAUUCUGUAAAUACCCAUUUUACCCUUAUUAAUUACUAAUUUAACUAAGUGUAAUAAUUUAAGAUUAAUUACAUGAUCAAGAUCAAUUCUUAACCUUUCAAUCACAUAAUAAUUCAACAUUCUUUUUAAAAUUUUACAAUUAAAUAUCUAUAGUCUAUUAAGUGUAAUAAUUAAAUCUUGUUAUAAUUUUUCGCUUGUAAAUUAUAUAUAGUUGUAAUGCAAUUGUCUAUUGUAAUAUUCAAUAUUAAUUUCGAGAUUUAAAUUUUUUGAAUUUUAUUUAAAUAACUCACAUAAGUCAUACAAAAAAUAUUUUGAUAUAAAAUUUUUUUGAUAUUAGUAUUUUUCAUAUGACCCAAUCAAGCAACAGUUUUUUAAUUGCACAUUUAUUGUCAACAAAAAAAUAACUUUGUAUGAAGACCCGCUCACCCAUUAGUCCACUUUGGCAUGGCCCUAUCUUUGAAUAAUAUAUAUAUAUAUAUAUAAUUAAUUAAUUGAGCUCCUAUAUUUUUAAAAGUAUCAAGUUAUUAGUGGUUGUAGAUUUGUGUCCAUUGGAUUAAGAGAUGUGCGGUUAGAUGAUGUUUCCAUAUAUUUUAUCUACCAAUAAUUAGUACUAAAAAUAUUAUUUUUAAAAUUUAAAGGGUAUUUAUGAAAUUAUAUCUUUAUUAGUUGCUGUCAAAAGAACACCCCAACCGAGGAUAAAUUAGUCAUUUUAUAACCUAAUCUUAACGUCCGUUAUAAAAAAAGGUAUUUGUGAUAAUUUUCUACAUUUGAAGAGAUAUAUAUGAUAUUUUCAAUUUUAUAGAAGUAUUUACGAUAUUUAGAUAUUUCAGAGGGUAGCGGUGAAAUUGCCCCUAAAAAUUAAAUCCCCUAUGACUAGAUAACCCAUGGGGUGGGGUUUGCUAAAGCAAGAGGGGCGAGUAGCCUCAGCCCAUUUCUGUACUUUCCUGAACUCCACUCACACUCAGAGACUCAGAGAGAGAGAGAGAGAGAGAGAGAGAGAGGGAAAACCCAUUUCUUAACUUUCCUGAACUCCACUCACACUCAGAGAGAGAGAGAGAGAGAGAGAGAGAGGGAAAACCCAUUUCUUAACUUUCCUGAACUCCACUCACACUCAGAGAGAGAGAGAGAGAGAGAGAGAGAGGGAAAAUUGAAGAUGAUGAUACCAUUUUCAACAGUGUUGGUGAUCAUCUUCACCAUCAUAGUCUCUCCCACCAUAGCCAUUGUUGUGGCUCAGAGCUUGAAGAGCUACAGGAAGAAGAGGAACCCCAAGUUCCCACGUGGACCCAUGGGGUGGCCCCUCGUUGGCUCCACCUUCUCCUUCUUCAAGCCCCAUCACUCCUCCUCCAUUGGUCACUUCAUGGAGCAGAACCUCUCAAGGUGACGGAUGAUGAACAUCUAGCUAUGAUCUCUAUAUAUAUCUCCCCUCAAAGAAAAGUUAAUUUUUUUUUAAAAAAAGAACAAUAAAAAAUACAAAAAAAAUACGGCGAUCAAACCACGGUAUUUAAACACGAUGAUUGAAUCACCAUAUUCAACUUAAAAAUACCAUGUAGACGCUCGCGUGACAAACGAAGCAUUAUUUAUGUAAAUAUAAAUUUGUUAGAGCCAUUUGUUGAUUAUUGUAAGAUUUAAACUAGCUCGUUAUUUAGAUGUCCAAAGAGCAUUGCCCAGUCAUAAUUAUGUUGUGUUAACUGCAAAAGGUACGGGAAGGUAUUCAGCAUGAACUUCUCCGGGGAGAUGGUGGUGGUAUCGGCGGCUGUUCAGGAACAGUCUGCCGGCGCACUUCCCGAAGCUGGUCGGGAACUCCUCGCUGGUGCUGCUGAUGGGCGAUGCCUACCGGCACAAGAAGGCCAUCCUCCUCGCCUUCUUCAACAAGUUCCGCCUGCAGGCCGGCUUCUUGCAUGACAUCGAGCGCCUCGCUGGAGGCCUCUUGGCCUCCUGGAGCGAGGGAGGGGUCACCUACAUGACAGAGAACGCAAACAAGGUGACGGAUUUUUUUUCUUUUUCUUUUCUUUCAGCUUAUUUGCAACUUAUAUGCGAUUUUGCUGAUGCUCUUUUUGGAUGGAUUAAAAGGGAAAAAAAAAAAAGGAAAAUAAGCUUUCUUAGUAUGAGGAUGAAAGUUGAAGGGUUAAACAUUAAUAUUCUGUAGGAUAAAUUUAAUGCACUAAAAAAAAAAAAAUAGUAGUGGUAUUUGGUUGUGUGGUAAAUGAAAGCGAAAAGAGAGAAAGGAACGGAAGAGAAAGUAAAGAGAGAAAAUGAGGAGAGAGAAAGUAUCGUAGGAGAAAAAGUAGGAAUAAGGUUGAGAUAGAAGGGUUUUUUUUUUUUGAGAGAGAGAUAUAGAUAACAUGCGAUCCGUUUCGUUUAUUUUAUUUGAAAAUAAAUUUAGUUAGAAAUACGAAUUAACUAGGAUUCAAAUUUGAAAUCUCAAGUACUAAUUAUCAAGUUCUUCGCUAGGGACAGCCGGUGUUGAGAGAAAAAGUUACUGCUGAGAAAAAAAAAAAAGAAAUUAAAUAAGGAGAGAAGAGGAUGAGAGAGAAUAGGAGGAGAAUGAUGGGAGAAGAGAGAAAAGGACAAAAGGCAAAAAAGUGAAAGGAGAAAAUAAAAAAAAGAAAGAAAGAAAAGAGAGAGAGAGAGAGAGAGAGAGAUAAAAGAAGGAUAAAAUGAGCAUUUUGAGAGAAAUAUUUGUUUCUUUCUCUUUUCCUCCUUUCUUAUUUCAUAUGUCAUGUUUGACUCCAUAUUGUUUUGUGCUUUUUACAGUAAAAAGUCAAGAGCUUUUAAAGUAAUGAAAAGUAGAAAUAUACUCGUGAAAUUCGAAGUAUGGAGCUUUAACUUCGAACUUGAAAUUUUGUUGCGGGUGCUUCUCCAUGUACUUCUUUUUAUGUAGCAUGUUAUCCUACAGCAGAGCCAAACAAAAAUUUAAUCUUGAUUUUAAUGAGAGAACAAUUUUCUUUCUAAUUUUUUCUUGCAUUCUUUCUUCAUCCAAGCCUAGCAUAUAGUUAAACCAAAUGAGAAAAAAAAAAAAAAAAAAAAAAAACUAACUAACAAAUCGUGAUGAUCAAAUGUUGUGUGGAUGCACAGUUUGCGUUCUACGUGAUAGUUAAAAAAGCUUUGGGAUUAACCCCAGAGGACCCCGAAACGGAGCAGCUAAGGAAGGAGUUCAUGGCACUCUACAAGGGACUAUAUGCACUUCCCAUUAAUCUUCCUGGAUAUACACAUUGGAAGGCUUUGAAGGUAAGUGCAUGAAAUGAUGUGAUCCUUUUUAAUUCUUUGAAAAUAAAAAUAAAAUAAUCAAAUCGAUCCCACAGGUAGUUUAUCACAUUUGCAGUUUUCGUGUUUCAAAAAUAUAGCACUUUGCUUUCAUAAGGUUCUUGUUUUAGCUUUUGUAACGUUAAUGUUGGCAUUUGGCCAGAACCAAAUAGGAUACGCUCAUGGUCGGGUUCAACCCAUAGUUAUCAUAUUAUCUAAUUAGGAUAGAAUUGCAUUUAUCUUGCUUUUAUUUUUGGAAACUAAGAAAAAAGGCUUUCUAAUAUACUAAAAUAAUUGAAAACAGACUGAUUAGGCCUAACAUUUUAACAUUCAGUGUUAGGAUAUUAUAAAUUAUCAUAAAUUUGUUGUUGAUUCUAUAUAGAAAAUACGUCGAAACAUCAAGAGAAAUUUAAUUAUAUGCCUCCUUGAGAGAAAGAAAACAAUAUAUAUUCCUCAUCAACUCAUUGAGUCUAGAUCUUAAACGGUAAAACCCUAGCUCAUUCAUAGAUAGAUAUAUAAAUAUAUCUACCAUAUAUGGGUUUGGAAAUUUAUGGUUCUUUAUCGACGAUUCAAGGAUAAGUGAAUCGACUUCUAUAUAUGAUCCCUUGUGUCUAAUGUUUGCAUCAGACAUUGUUAGGUGGAUUUCGAGCCUUAAUAUGAUAUGAUUUUUAAUAAGAUUGCACCGAUAGAAUACAAGUUAUCGAUCACUGUUAGGAUCGAGCUUCCUUUGCGUGAUGAUGGGUGUGAAUACUGGAUUUCUCCAGGAUAAAUAUAAUUAUAUGAUAUUCGCACAUCUCGCAACCCUCGUAUAAAUUGUUGAUAAAAUCAAUAAGGUUGGUCAAAAUUUGUUUUGUAUUUUUUUAUAAGUCUUAAUUUUUGAAAACUAUAAUAUUAGCUGGGGCUUUCUUGUUUUUAAUUUUUGAAUAAUAUAAUCCUAGUUGAUUCACAUUUCCAGCUAAGUUUAUUUCUAAAUAAAAUAAACGAAACGGAUAGCGUGCUAUCUAUCUCUCAAAAAGAAAAAAAAAAAAAGAAGACUGCUUUCCUAUAACUAUUUGACUCUCGCCAAGCUACCAUUGCCCCCAGCUGCUGAACGCAUCCUCCUGCUGCGUGCUGACCGCUGCCGUGUGCAGCUUUCUUCACUGCAGAGACUGUUCACUUCGGAUGGUCCUCUGCCUUGAUCCCAGACCGGCCGGACGAAUAGCCAUGAUUUGAUGGGCCAAUCUGACUUGGGUCUGACCCAAAUCCGAGGCCCCAUACCACUUAUGGAAGCCUGGCUUGCUCGGCGUAGGAGAACCCAACCAGCUGGCUGGCUUGCUCGCUCGUCCUUUUGCGAUGCCUCUAUGCAGGCUGUCUUAGUUAUAAUUUGGAGCUCCCAAAAUAUAUAGGUUGAGUCUGUGAUUGCACUGUAUUUUUUUUUUUAGGGGCAAUUGUUUAUACAUUCCUGAAAAGUUUCCUAUUUUCUGAUUUACCACUCGUAGAAGGUUAAUAUUGAAAAUACCUUUUUUACGUUUCAAUUUAUUUCAAAUAUAUUCCUAGAGUUAAAUUCUGUUAAUGAACUGUUAAAAUAGCUGUUAUCUCUAUGAAAUUAUUAUUUUGCCCUUUCAAAUAUACCGUUCUAUCAUCAUCGAUUUUUCUUAUUUGUCCUUAAGUUAGGAGUAAAAAAAUAUUUUGAUUUUUGGCCUUUUCAAAUAUACCCUUCUAUCAUCACCAAUAUUUGCUAUUAAGUCAAGGGCAAAAAAGGCAUUUUAUUUUUUUUUUUAACUCUAAUAGAUAUUUAAUUCACAUUUAACCCAAGUUAACUUAACAGGUGGUCACUGUAGAGAUAUUUUGGAAUAACAGAGGAACAUAUGAGGAGUGUAUUGGAAAGAAAAAAAAAAAAUAGGGACAAAUAAGAUAUUUCUGAAGUUUAAAGAGGUAUAUAGGCAAUUAUCCCUUUUUUUUUUAUAUAGAAUCAUUGAUAGCACAGUAUUGAGAAAGUAAUUGUGAUGAUAUUGUUCCCAUCAUAUACAAGUGGAAGAUAUUGGUCUUCAAUCAAACCAAAUCGAGUGCGCCUAUAGUCGGGCUCGACCCAAUUUUUAUCAUGUAGUCUAAUUGGACUAAAAUUGUAUUUUAGAAAACUGAGAAAAGAGACUUUCUAGCCAUAUCAGUAUAGGGUGUAAACGAGCCGAAUACGAUGCGAGCUGGGGGUCAGCUCGUGUUCGGCUCGUUUAAUAAACGAGUCGAACACGAGCUGGCUCGUUAAAAAAUUCAGCUCGUAUUCGGCUCGUUUAUUAAACGACCGAACACGAGCUGGCUCACAAGCUGGCCAAUGAACAAUAAGUUAAAAAGAUUAUAUUGAACAUAUAUAAGAAUAAAUUUAUAAAGUCUUAUCCAUUAGACUUUGAUCUAGUAGUUGAAAUUUUACAUAUAAAUGAGUGUUUUUAUAAUUGAGCUCACCUUUUAUAUUUUAUUUUGCUAAAAAUUAAAUAAUAAAAAUAUAUAUUAUUAUAUAAAUAUAAAUAAUAAUUAUAUAAAUAUAAAAUAUAUGUAUUCGAGCUGUUAUCGAGCCGAACAUAAGCGAGCGGACCCCAGCUCGUGUUCGGCUCGUUUAAUAAACGAGCCGAAAAAUUGGCUCGUGUUCGCCUCGUUUACUAAACGAGCGAUUCGAUCUCAAGCUCAUUUCAAGCCCAACAUGAGCUGGCUCGUGAACAGCGAGCUGAAUUGCCACCCCUAUAUCAGUAUAAUAAAUAAUAAACCAAUUAUUAGGCCUAAUCUUCUAAUCGUAUCCUUUAAAAGGUGUUUAAAACUCCUAUACAUAUACAGUCAAUUCUCUUGUGAAUAUGGAUAAAAAAAAAUAUACAUAUAAAAUAUUCUGAAAAAUUAAGAGAAAUUCAUGAAAAAUUUCGUUUGCUUUUUUGGAAGAGAAAACCACGUCCCCCAUCUAUACCUUUUAUAGCUAUACAUUAUUUUUCAUAGAAUUUGCCACAUGGCAGUUCUCGUUCACCCUUGCCUUCUUCCCCUUUUUUAUUUCCUAUCUAUACCUUUUAUAGCUAUACAUUAUUUUUAUAGAAUUUGCCACAUGACAGUUUCUACUUCACCCUUACCCACUCCCCAUCUCCGUCCGAUGCUUCAUCUUCCUACUCGCUGACUUUUUAAUUAAUCUAAACAAAUCGUUGUUAUAAGAAAAAAAGAGUAAAAUAAGACAUAUUCAUACUUUUCUUUUUGUAUAUUAUUUGUAUUUAUUGAUGUCUCGCGGCAAGUCAACAAAUUUUAAAAUUUUUAUUUUAUCAAUCUUCUAUUUUUUAUAGUAUUUGCACGCCGCAAUGUACGAAUAACUUCACUAGUUAGCUCAUUAAGUCUAAAGGGUCUUGAACAGUAGAAUAUAGACUUAAUUCGUUCAUAACUAGUCUAGGGUUAAAACGGUAGAGUACCUUCAUCGACUAUUGAAGGACGCAUGAAUCAUCUUCUAUGAUCCAGAAUCGAUCAUGUGACAAGAAAAGUUAACACGAUUAGCUUCUAGUAACAAAAAGGUAUGAUUCAAUCUUCUGCUGCGUCCUACAGUUAAAAACAAGAACGGUGUUACUUUUGUAUAUAUAAUGAAGCACUUUGCUAGCUUCUCAAAAUCACGACCUUACAAGAAACUAUAUGAAAGGCCAUACAAAAGCAAAGCGCCUUUUUUGGAGGGUAAAAGCACAAGAUUGUCACAAAUAUACUGCAUCAUAGGGGUUCAUUUUGAAUAAUUUUAUGCUAAUAAUGAACUUUGUAACUCAUCUAGCUAGCUAUGUACGUUCUCUAUAUGUUAUGUGCCAACAUAGGCUAGGGCUAAGGUUGUGAAAACUAUCAAAAAGAAGUUGGAUGAGAGGAAGGCAAAAGGAAGUGGUGGUGAGGAAGAUGAUCUUCUUGGGCAUGUUAUCAAGGAGAGUACUUACACUCCGGAGAACAUUUGUGACACCAUACUAGGCUUCAUUUUCGGCGGCGUGGCCACAUCCUCAACUGCAUUGUGCUUAGCCGUUUAUUUCCUUCAAAAUUGUCCUAAAGCUCGCGAACAAAUGAGGGUACGUAUGCUCAAAAACUUCACAUCGAUCCAUAAGUAUUAUUUUUAGCGAAGUCUCCAAAAAAGGAAAACAUUAAGUAGUGUAUCUAUGUGUAAAUAUGUUUACAGGAAGAGCAUUUGGAAUGUAUGAAAUCAAAGGAGGAGAAUGGCAAGGGAAAAUUGACAUGGGAUGACUACAAGAACAUGGAGUUCACACAAAACGUACGUUCAGAUAAUUGCAUAUAAUAAAAAAAACAAGAAAAGCUAUUAAAAAACCUGCUAGUUUUGAAUUAAUCUUGUUCCUUUUUUUUAUUCUUUUAUGGUAAAGGUGAUCAGUGAGACACUAAGGGUUGGAAAUGUUGCUCCGUAUGUCUGGAAGAAGGCUACGAAGGAUAUUGAGUUCAAAGGUUGGAACUUCGCUUGCAAUUUUAUUUAUUGUAUGAGUUUUAAUUUGCAAGUCUGGCUACUACACUCUUAUAAAUAUGAUCGCCUUCGUACUCAUAAGUUGUUCGUGAUGAUAGAGUUUCCAAAUUGACGAUCCAUAUCCUUAAAUAUGAUUUUAAGUAUUUGAAACUUUUAGAAAUUAAAUUUUAUAAUUUUUUGAUAUCAUUUACCUCUUAUGAUCAAAAGAUUUCAAAAUUGAUAAUUUUUAACGCUCAGUAUGGGAUACUUGCUAGUUUAAUAGUGUAAAAGACUCGAAAUUAAUUGAAUUUUUUAUAAAAAAUUUUUAUUCACUAUUUAGUUAAGAAUCAAUAACUCUAAUUUUAAAUUGAAGGAUUAAAUUAUUUAUUUUUAGGAUGUUGUUCAAUUUUGACCUUUCAUUUUCUUACGAAAUUUAUUUUUUAGAAGUUUCGAAUACUCUAAAUCAUAUUUAACGGUAUGGAUCGUCGAUUUGAAAACUCAAUCAUUGAAAACAACUUAUAAUUAUAAAGAGCUUUAUACUUAUAAUAUUACAGU
RNAcentral lists this long non-coding RNA (9767 nucleotides) under Ananas comosus (pineapple). Its description in RNAcentral is "long non-coding RNA (ACOM_LNC004857)". The record is from RNAcentral. Lineage: Eukaryota; Viridiplantae; Streptophyta; Magnoliopsida; Poales; Bromeliaceae.